UACGUAGGGUGCGAGCGUUGUCCGGAAUUAUUGGGCGUAAAGAGCUCGUAGGCGGUUUGUUGCGUCUAUCGUGAAAACCUGCAGCUUAACUGUGGGCCUGCAGUGGGUACGGGCAGACUAGAGUGCGGUAGGGGAGACUGGAAUUCCUGGUGUAGCGGUGAAAUGCGCAGAUAUCAGGAGGAACACCUGCGGCGAAGGCGGGUCUCUGGGCCGAUACUGACGCUGAGGAGCGAAAGCGUGGGGAGCGAACAGG
RNAcentral lists this ribosomal RNA (253 nucleotides) under uncultured bacterium. RNAcentral's name for it is "partial 16S ribosomal RNA". It matches the Rfam family "Bacterial small subunit ribosomal RNA", at positions 524 to 776 of the family's 1533-position model. The record is from RNAcentral.